RNAcentral lists this non-coding RNA (205 nucleotides) under Gammaproteobacteria bacterium. RNAcentral's name for it is "6S RNA". It matches the Rfam family "6S / SsrS RNA". Rfam says of the family: E. coli 6S RNA was the first non coding RNA to be sequenced, but its function was unknown until recently. It consists of 184 nucleotides that fold into an extended hairpin structure with a large single-stranded internal bulge. The 6S RNA specifically associates with RNA polymerase holoenzyme containing the sigma70 specificity factor. The record is from RNAcentral. Lineage: Bacteria; Pseudomonadati; Pseudomonadota; Gammaproteobacteria.
CGUCUCCUGGGGUGUUGGCCAGCUGGCGUCAUCCUUGAGCCGUUAUAGAAACGAAAGGGUGUUCGGCACCGAUUACGGUGUGCAGACCUAAAGCGUUAAGCGAUGCGCACGCUGCCGCUGCGGGGAGCCUUAGGAACCGGGCACGGACUCCCGCCUUGAACCGGACGGUUCAGGGUUACCAAGCAGCCGCAUCGCCGGGAGACAA